UUCCAGGUGGCCUAUGUUUUAAUCAAAUUUGCAAAUUCUCCUCGCCCUGAUCUUUGGGUCUUGGAAAGAUCUGUUGACUUUGGAAGCACCUACUCACCUUGGCAAUAUUUUGCUCAUUCUAAAGUAGACUGUUUGGAACAGUUUGGGCAGGAAGCAAACAGGGCUAUCACCCGAGAUGAUGAUGUACUUUGUACUACGGAAUAUUCCCGAAUUGUGCCAUUGGAAAAUGGUGAGGUUGUGGUGUCCUUGAUAAAUGGUCGACCAGGUGCGAAAAAUUUUACUUUCUCUCACGCCCUGAGGGAGUUCACCAAGGCCACAAACAUCCGCCUGCGUUUUCUCCGAACCAAUACCCUUCUUGGACACCUCAUCUCCAAAGCGCAGAGAGAUCCAACCGUCACCCGGCGGGUGA
Non-coding RNA from Odocoileus virginianus texanus, 409 nucleotides. The record is from RefSeq and is a predicted model, not a curated record. NCBI's taxonomy places the organism in Eukaryota, Metazoa, Chordata, Mammalia, Artiodactyla, Cervidae.